GAUGAACGCUAGCUACAGGCUUAACACAUGCAAGUCGAGGGGCAGCAUGGUCUUAGCUUGCUAAGGCCGAUGGCGACCGGCGCACGGGUGAGUAACACGUAUCCAACCUGCCGUCUACUCUUGGACAGCCUUCUGAAAGGAAGAUUAAUACAAGAUGGCAUCAUGAGUCCGCAUGUUCACAUGAUUAAAGGUAUUCCGGUAGACGAUGGGGAUGCGUUCCAUUAGAUAGUAGGCGGGGUAACGGCCCACCUAGUCUUCGAUGGAUAGGGGUUCUGAGAGGAAGGUCCCCCACAUUGGAACUGAGACACGGUCCAAAACUCCUACGGGAGCAGCAGUGAGGAAUAUUGGUCAAAUGGGCGCUAGCCUGAACCAGCCAAGUAGCGUGAAGGAUGAAGGCUCUAUGGGUCGUAAAACUUCUUUUAUAUAAGAAUAAAGUGCAGUAUGUAUACUGUUUUGUAUGUAUAUAUGAAUAGGAU
RNAcentral lists this ribosomal RNA (476 nucleotides) under uncultured bacterium. Its description in RNAcentral is "bacterial SSU rRNA". It matches the Rfam family "Bacterial small subunit ribosomal RNA", at positions 28 to 492 of the family's 1533-position model. The record is from RNAcentral.